GUGGCUAUAGUAUAGUGGUCAGUACGUAUCGUUGUGGAUUUGGCGUAGCCAACCGCGACAGUCUCCGAUGAGACGCCGGUUCGAUUCCGGCUAGCCACAA
This 100-nucleotide transfer RNA is filed under the name Malassezia restricta. RNAcentral's name for it is "tRNA-His". It matches the Rfam family "tRNA". From Rfam's summary of the family: Transfer RNA (tRNA) molecules are approximately 80 nucleotides in length. The record is from RNAcentral. Lineage: Eukaryota; Fungi; Basidiomycota; Malasseziomycetes; Malasseziales; Malasseziaceae.